This 292-nucleotide ribosomal RNA is filed under the name uncultured bacterium. RNAcentral describes it as "partial 16S ribosomal RNA". It matches the Rfam family "Bacterial small subunit ribosomal RNA", at positions 505 to 796 of the family's 1533-position model. The record is from RNAcentral.
GUGCCAGCAGCCGCGGUAAUACGGAGGUCCCAAGCGUUGUUCGGAAUUACUGGGCGUAAAGGGAGCGCAGGCGGAUAGUUAAGUCUAAAGUGGAAUCCCGGGGCUCAACCUCGGAACUGCUUCGGAUACUGGCUAUCUUGAGUUCGUGAGAGGAAAGCGGAAUUCAGGGUGUAGCGGUGAAAUGCUUAGAUAUCCUGAGGAACACCAAUGGCGAAGGCAGCUUUCUGGCGCGAUACUGACGCUGAGGCUCGAAAGCGUGGGGAGCGAACAGGAUUAGAAACCCCCGUAGUCC